RNAcentral lists this non-coding RNA (148 nucleotides) under Rhinopithecus bieti (black snub-nosed monkey). Lineage: Eukaryota; Metazoa; Chordata; Mammalia; Primates; Cercopithecidae. The record is from Rfam by way of RNAcentral.
GCCGGGUAUGAUGGCACGUGCCUGUAAUCCCAGCUACUUGGGAGGCUGAGGCAGGAGAAUUGCUUGAACCCAGGAGGUGGAGGUUGCAGUGAGCCGAGAUCAUGCCACUGCACUCCAGCCUGGGUGACAGAGUGAGACUCUGUCUCAA